GCCCACCGAGCCGGCUGCGCCCGGGGCCCCGCGGGGCGAGCGCUGGGGACGCGGCAUCAGCGCAGGAGUCCCGCAGGCGCUGCCCAGCGUCGCAGCCCCGAUACCAGGCUAGAUGGGCCCCUGCUCUCACUGGGCCUGGCAGGUCCUGAGCAGCAGCUUGUGCAUCCCCCAGAGCCUGGACGCGCAGGGAGGUGGCGGGGGGCAUCUACCAGGCAGAGCUGACCCUGUACGGAGACCCAGUGCGGGAAGACAUGCGGGAGCCGAAGUUCACAGCUGCUGUGGCCUUGGCCCUUCCUUCUGCCCUUUCCUGCUAGAGCAAAGAGCUGCCAGAAAUCUCCUUGUGGCUGUGCUCGGCUGCCCAGCGCAGUGCUCUGUAGCCCCAGCGAACCAUCCUGGUCAGACAGUUCUCAAGCUGCACUGGGAAACUAGGUAAGAUGUUUGUCCCGCUGCUCCAGCCCCCCCUUACCCUCCUCUGGUGGUUAGAAACCUCUUCUUCCAGCUUGCAUUUACUCCUGGCCAUUUAUCCCCGUUUGUUUUUGUGCCAAUGCUGUCCCUUAGUAUCAGGAGCCCUUCUUCCUCCCUGGUGGUUUGGGUGCCAGCUGCUUGCUUUACCAGUUGGGAGUUGAGAUUUCCUUCCAGAAUCCCUGGUAAAGGUCCUCAGCAGCAUUGUGCCAGGAACAGAUCCCUCCUUGCAUGAGGGUUCCCCCAUUGGCUGCUGUUCUCUGAGAUCUACUCGGCUGUGUCCAAGAUGUUGGUAUUGCAGACGUGAGGAGGAUUCGCAGAGCGGCCGAAGGGGC
RNAcentral lists this long non-coding RNA (797 nucleotides) under Gopherus evgoodei (Goodes thornscrub tortoise). Its description in RNAcentral is "lncRNA (ENSGEVG00005018307.1)". Lineage: Eukaryota; Metazoa; Chordata; Testudines; Testudinidae. The record is from RNAcentral.